RNAcentral lists this ribosomal RNA (467 nucleotides) under uncultured bacterium. RNAcentral's name for it is "partial 16S ribosomal RNA". It matches the Rfam family "Bacterial small subunit ribosomal RNA", at positions 29 to 507 of the family's 1533-position model. The record is from RNAcentral.
ACGAACGCUGGCGGCGUGCUUAACACAUGCAAGUCGAACGGAAAGGCCCUGCUUUUGUGGGGUGCUCGAGUGGCGAACGGGUGAGUAACACGUGAGUAACCUGCCCUUGACUUUGGGAUAACUUCAGGAAACUGGGGCUAAUACCGGAUAGGAGCUCCUGCUGCAUGGUGGGGGUUGGAAAGUUUCGGCGGUUGGGGAUGGACUCGCGGCUUAUCAGCUUGUUGGUGGGGUAGUGGCUUACCAAGGCUUUGACGGGUAGCCGGCCUGAGGGGGUGACCGGCCACAUUGGGACUGAGAUACGGCCCAGACUCCUACGGGAGGCGGCAGUGGGGAAUAUUGCACAAUGGGCGGAAGCCUGAUGCAGCAACGCCGCGUGCGGGAUGACGGCCUUCGGGUUGUAAACCGCUUUCGCCUGUGACGAAGCGUGAGUGACGGUAAUGGGUAAAGAAGCACCGGCUAACUACGUG